GACGAACGCUGGCGGCGUGCUUAACACAUGCAAGUCGAACGGAAAGGCCCUGCUUUUGUGGGGUGCUCGAGUGGCGAACGGGUGAGUAACACGUGAGUAACCUGCCCUUGACUUUGGGAUAACUUCAGGAAACUGGGGCUAAUACCGGAUAGGAGCUCCUGCUGCAUGGUGGGGGUUGGAAAGUUUCGGCGGUUGGGGAUGGACUCGCGGCUUAUCAGCUUGUUGGUGGGGUAGUGGCUUACCAAGGCUUUGACGGGUAGCCGGCCUGAGAGGGUGACCGGCCACAUUGGGGCUGGGAUACGGCCCAGAAUCCUACGGGAGGCAGCAGUGGGGAAUAUUGCACAAUGGGCGGAAGCCUGAUGCAGCAACGCCGCGUGCGGGAUGACGGCCUUCGGGUUGUAAACCGCUUUCGCCUGUGACGAAGCGUGAGUGACGGUAAUGGGUAAAGAAGCACCGGCUAACUACGUG
Molecule: ribosomal RNA, 468 nt
Filed under: uncultured bacterium
Lineage: Bacteria
Description: partial 16S ribosomal RNA
Rfam family: Bacterial small subunit ribosomal RNA
Source: RNAcentral